CGGCGUGGCAUGACCCGAGCGUAGUGACACUAUUUUUGCUCCGUGGGUUUCGUGCGACGGUGGCCAGAACUGGAUGUCACAGUCCAACUUCUCAAAGGUUGACCUCGGAUCAGGUAGGGAUACCCGCUGAACUUAAGCAUAUCAAUAAGCGGAGGAAAAGAAACCAACAGGGAUUGCCUCAGUAACGGCGAGUGAAGCGGCAACAGCUCAAAUUUGAAAUCCGGCUUCGUGCCCGAGUUGUAAUUUGCAGAGGGUAUUUCGAGGGCGACGUCGGCCUAAGUCCCUUGGAACAGGGCGUCAUAGAGGGUGAGAAUCCCGUCUGCGGCCGACGAUCCAUCUCAUGUGAAAUCCCUUCGACGAGUCGAGUUGUUUGGGAAUGCAGCUCAAAAUGGGUGGUAAAUUUCAUCUAAAGCUAAAUACCGGCCAGAGACCGAUAGCGCACAAGUAGAGUGAUCGAAAGAUGAAAAGCACUUUGGAAAGAGAGUUAAAAAGUACGUGAAAUUGUUGAAAGGGAAACGCUUGCCAAUAGACCGAUCGGCGGGCUGCAGUUGGGGAUUUCUCUCCCGGCGUGACGCACCCGUCAUUCGGCCAGCAUCGGUUUCGGUGGCUCGACAAAGAUCGUGGGAACGUGGCUCCUCGGAGUGUUAUAGCCCACGAUGUCAUGGAGCCUACCGGGACCGAGGACCGCGCUUCGGCUAGGAUGCUGGCGUAAUGUUGUUAAGCGACC
RNAcentral lists this ribosomal RNA (727 nucleotides) under uncultured fungus. RNAcentral describes it as "eukaryotic LSU rRNA". The stretch from base 100 to 727 matches the Rfam family "Eukaryotic large subunit ribosomal RNA", at positions 1 to 649 of the family's 3401-position model. Lineage: Eukaryota; Fungi. The record is from RNAcentral.